Long non-coding RNA from Oncorhynchus masou masou (cherry salmon), 504 nucleotides. RefSeq lists it as uncharacterized. The transcript has 5 exons. NCBI's taxonomy places the organism in Eukaryota, Metazoa, Chordata, Actinopteri, Salmoniformes, Salmonidae. The record is from RefSeq and is a predicted model, not a curated record.
AUGCAUGCACCCUGACGCCCCUGACUGACUGAGUGACCACAGUUUAUCUGCCUGGCUGUGAGAGCGGAGGAGGGGAGUCCUCCUCACUGACUACCCCAGCCAGAGUGACCAUAUCAGGAGUUGAGGAAAGCUGAGCUGGACGAAAAUAAGAGACAAAGCAGAGGAAAGUUGGUGACAACAAUCUUGUUCUGCACAGACAGACAGGAAAGUAGAUCAGAGUACUCUUUAGAUGGAACCUGGAUCUGCAGUAACUACUGAGGAAAGCCAAUCAAAAACACCCUUUCAAUGGAAGGUACACAAUGAAUAUGAAUCUAUCAAUUUCAAUGCUGUACUGAGGCCCUACCACCCACUGUAACGCUGUCAUUUCUUCAACCCCUUUCCAUUCACAUCAAGUGUGAGCAAUAAUGCUCUCUCACAUUCCUGUUCUCAAUGGCUUAUACGCUAUGCCCUCUCUGCUCUGCUCUGAACAGACCGACCUCACCCUUACAGGGUACAGACAAAUUA